This is a non-coding RNA of Schistosoma curassoni, 45 nucleotides long. NCBI's taxonomy places the organism in Eukaryota, Metazoa, Platyhelminthes, Trematoda, Strigeidida, Schistosomatidae. The record is from Rfam.
AUAGAGCUGUCGAGUCCCAAAUAGGACGAAAUGUGCGUCCUGAAU